GGUGAAAAGCACCCCGGAAGGGGAGUGAAAUAGAACCUGAAACCGUGUGCUUACAAGUAGUCAGAGCCCGUUAAUGGGUGAUGGCGUGCCUUUUGUAGAAUGAACCGGCGAGUUACGAUUUGAUGCAAGGUUAAGCAGUAAAUGUGGAGCCGUAGCGAAAGCGAGUCUGAAUAGGGCGUUUAGUAUUUGGUCGUAGACCCGAAACCAGGUGAUCUACCCUUGGUCAGGUUGAAGUUCAGGUAACACUGAAUGGAGGACCGAACCGACUUACGUUGAAAAGUGAGCGGAUGAACUGAGGGUAGCGGAGAAAUUCCAAUCGAACCUGGAGAUAGCUGGUUCUCUCCGAAAUAGCUUUAGGGCUAGCCUCAAGUGAUGAUUAUUGGAGGUAGAGCACUGUUUGGACGAGGGGCCCCUCUCGGGUUACCGAAUUCAGACAAACUCCGAAUGCCAAUUAAUUUAACUUGGGAGUCAGAACAUGGGUGAUAAGGUCCGUGUUCGAAAGGGAAACAGCCCAGACCACCAGCUAAGGUCCCAAAAUAUAUGUUAAGUGGAAAAGGAUGUGGCGUUGCCCAGACAACUAGGAUGUUGGCUUAGAAGCAGCCAUCAUUUAAAGAGUGCGUAAUAGCUCACUAGUCGAGUGACACUGCGCCGAAAAUGUACCGGGGCUAAACAUAUUACCGAAGCUGUGGAUUGUCCUUUGGACAAUGGUAGGAGAGCGUUCUAAGGGCGUUGAAGCAUGAUCGUAAGGACAUGUGGAGCGCUUAGAAGUGAGAAUGCCGGUGUGAGUAGCGAAAGACGGGUGAGAAUCCCGUCCACCGAUUGACUAAGGUUUCCAGAGGAAGGCUCGUCCGCUCUGGGUUAGUCGGGUCCUAAGCUGAGGCCGACAGGCGUAGGCGAUGGAUAACAGGUUGAUAUUCCUGUACCACCUAUAAUCGUUUUAAUCGAUGGGGGGACGCAGUAGGAUAGGCGAAGCGUGCGAUUGGAUUGCACGUCUAAGCAGUAAGGCUGAGUAUUAGGCAAAUCCGGUACUCAUUAAGGCUGAGCUGUGAUGGGGAGAAGACAUUGUGUCUUCGAGUCGUUGAUUUCACACUGCCGAGAAAAGCCUCUAGAUAGAAAAUAGGUGCCCGUACCGCAAACCGACACAGGUAGUCAAGAUGAGAAUUCUAAGGUGAGCGAGCGAACUCUCGUUAAGGAACUCGGCAAAAUGACCCCGUAACUUCGGGAGAAGGGGUGCUCUUUAGGGUUAACGCCCAGAAGAGCCGCAGUGAAUAGGCCCAAGCGACUGUUUAUCAAAAACACAGGUCUCUGCUAAACCGUAAGGUGAUGUAUAGGGGCUGACGCCUGCCCGGUGCUGGAAGGUUAAGAGGAGUGGUUAGCUUCUGCGAAGCUACGAAUCGAAGCCCCAGUAAACGGCGGCCGUAACUAUAACGGUCCUAAGGUAGCGAAAUUCCUUGUCGGGUAAGUUCCGACCCGCACGAAAGGCGUAACGAUUUGGGCACUGUCUCAACGAGAGACUCGGUGAAAUCAUAGUACCUGUGAAGAUGCAGGUUACCCGCGACAGGACGGAAAGACCCCGUGGAGCUUUACUGUAGCCUGAUAUUGAAAUUCGGCACAGCUUGUACAGGAUAGGUAGGAGCCUUUGAAACGUGAGCGCUAGCUUACGUGGAGGCGCUGGUGGGAUACUACCCUAGCUGUGUUGGCUUUCUAACCCGCACCACUUAUCGUGGUGGGAGACAGUGUCAGGCGGGCAGUUUGACUGGGGCGGUCGCCUCCUAAAAGGUAACGGAGGCGCUCAAAGGUUCCCUCAGAAUGGUUGGAAAUCAUUCAUAGAGUGUAAAGGCAUAAGGGAGCUUGACUGCGAGACCUACAAGUCGAGCAGGGUCGAAAGACGGACUUAGUGAUCCGGUGGUUCCGCAUGGAAGGGCCAUCGCUCAACGGAUAAAAGCUACCCCGGGGAUAACAGGCUUAUCUCCCCCAAGAGUUCACAUCGACGGGGAGGUUUGGCACCUCGAUGUCGGCUCAUCGCAUCCUGGGGCUGUAGUCGGUCCCAAGGGUUGGGCUGUUCGCCCAUUAAAGCGGUACGCGAGCUGGGUUCAGAACGUCGUGAGACAGUUCGGUCCCUAUCCGUCGUGGGCGUAGGAAAUUUGAGAGGAGCUGUCCUUAGUACGAGAGGACCGGGAUGGACAUACCUCUGGUGUACCAGUUGUCGUGCCAACGGCAUAGCUGGGUAGCUAUGUGUGGACGGGAUAAGUGCUGAAAGCAUCUAAGCAUGAAGCCCCCCUCAAGAUGAGAUUUCCCAACUUCGGUUAUAAGAUCCCUCAAAGAUGAUGAGGUUAAUAGGUUCGAGGUGGAAGCAUGGUGACAUGUGGAGCUGACGAAUACUAAUCGAUCGAAGACUUAAUCAA
This 2405-nucleotide ribosomal RNA is filed under the name Staphylococcus aureus. RNAcentral's name for it is "partial 23S ribosomal RNA". It matches the Rfam family "Bacterial large subunit ribosomal RNA", at positions 513 to 2925 of the family's 2925-position model. Lineage: Bacteria; Bacillati; Bacillota; Bacilli; Caryophanales; Staphylococcaceae. The record is from RNAcentral.